Capsicum annuum is the source of this 2126-nucleotide long non-coding RNA. RefSeq lists it as uncharacterized. Lineage: Eukaryota; Viridiplantae; Streptophyta; Magnoliopsida; Solanales; Solanaceae. The transcript is spliced from 3 exons. The record is from RefSeq and is a predicted model, not a curated record.
UCUUCUUAUCAAAACUACUACUAGUAAUUGUCCAAGCAAUAUUGAUUAAUUUUUUAUAAAAAGGAAUGUAGAGAAAGAAAGUCCCGCUUCUCUCUAACUUGUUCCUAAUUAUUGUCACAUGACCUCCGAUCAAAAUUUCUCACCUUCGACUCCCCCUGCUGAUCCAAUUGCUCCCACGACUAACACUCACAUGGUGGAGGAGAACGCCUCCUAAAGUGAGGUCACCUCUAACAAAAUCUCACUCAAACCCUAUCAUCACAGAGCUCUUGCCUGAUAGUACCUCCACAUAUGAGGUAAUAGAGGGGACCUCAACCUCUCCAUGGAGAACAAACAAAGGCUAUACACCCCUUGGAGACACUAAGUCAUCAUCAAACUACUAACAAAAAAAUUUAACCACCAGUAUCUAAAAACCAAGCUUGAAGCUGCUUGGAAACCAAUUAAUCUGUUUGAUAGAUUUGGGCUAUGAUUUCUACAUGGUCAAACUCCAAAGACCAAAAAGUAAGUAAAAGAUAAUUCAAGGUGGCCUGUGGUUCAUCAUCGGGAUCUUCUUUUCAUUUAGGAGUUGGGAACCAAAUUUUGUUCCCACGGAAGCGAAGAUCCUCUCCACUGUGAUUCGGAUAUGGCUUCCCCAGUUACCUACUAAAUUCUAUGAUUCCCUCAUCAUGGAAAGUGUAGGCAGAACUUAAGGUAAGCUUGUUAAGGCCAACACAUGUACCUCGAAAAUCUUAAGGGCAAGAUAUGUGGGUAUCUGCGCACAAAUACCUUUUGGGGUGCUGGUCUAAUCUUCCCUAGUCAUUGGAGAACACAAGUAAGAGUUGAUCUACGAAGGGGAGGGUUUUUUAUGCAAGAUAUAUGGUCACCUUGGCCACACAAUAUCAUCCUGCCCAGCCCAUAAAGGAAAAUCCAAUAUCGAUGUUGAAAAUUUAUCGAAGAAGGUUUCAAUACACCCAAAGAAGAAAGAUCCCAGUAGAGAUUGGCAAACAGUCUUACUUGCUAAGAAAGGAAACAACCGAAGGAACCCAACACGAAGGCCCACGCAUGGCAUCAAGGUGAACACCUUCGAAGAGGUGCCAAAAUUUGUGUGGAUCAAAGCGGUUGCACCGAGGAAUUGAUCUGAAAAAUCCAAUAGUAGGUAAAACCGACUGAAAGCCCUGCUUUUGCCAUCAUUACAGCAAGCACGGACUGGCAGAAAGGUGUCAAUUGAAUGAUCAAAGCAUCAGUUGCUUCCCUUGUGACCUUCGACCGUCUAGACACCUUAAUAGCAAGGAAGCCCCCUAUUCCACAAGUAGGUGGAGGUCUAGAGGGUCGGGAACUCCAACGAGAAACCUUUCGCAGCACCACAUGAUGCGUGAAUGAAAAACGAAUCAUAUUUCAAUAGACUUAUACCUCCGGGGCUGACGUAUCAACAUACCGUGAAUGACGAAAAGGUUCUAAUUUGUUAAUAUUGCAUUUUGCUAUGAACUUUCUAGAUAAUAUUAUUACUCCUGUUUCCUACCUAAAAAUGUAUAAAUAUUUCUGUAGCUGCAAGAUAUUACCUCUUUUUGUCAUUUUUGCAAGAUAUUUCUGAUCUGAAGAUGCUCUUCACAGUGGCAAUAAACGCUACAAGCUGCUCAACAAGAUUUAACUACGGAAAAGAAUUAACAAACAAGCAAAGAGAAGUUACGAAAAAUAAAGUUACUGAAAAGAGAAAAAAAAGAAGAGUAACAUACAUUUAUCAGCUCACCACUCAUUUUAAUCAUCACAGACGUGGGCAGUUGAAAAUACAUAGUUCAGACAUGGAAGAGGGCAGUCUGAUGGUUCUGGAGGCUCUUGGUGACUAACUCAAUGAUAUAUACACAGUUCAGAUAUUGUCGAACUCCUACAAUGACAAUGGAUCAAAGCAGAAUGAACAAAGCACCUCCGAAUGAAAAAGAAGUGAGUAUAUAUGAAAACUUUCCUUCAAAAUCUUUGCUUUCCAAGCUUAGGCAAAUCAUACUACCUGAUUGUGAAAUGGAGAUUUCAUUUUUCAAGCAUUUGUGCACUUUUUAAUGAUUCUGUAAAUUGAUUGAACAACUCCUGCAAUAAUAAAUGGAUAAACGAACUGAAACAAGCUAAUAGACAAGCAAGGAGAAGUUUGUGGAAGAUUA